This 19964-nucleotide long non-coding RNA is filed under the name Sorghum bicolor (sorghum). RNAcentral's name for it is "long non-coding RNA (SBIC_LNC007162)". The stretch from base 9757 to 9865 matches the Rfam family "MIR5565 microRNA precursor family". The record is from RNAcentral. Lineage: Eukaryota; Viridiplantae; Streptophyta; Magnoliopsida; Poales; Poaceae.
UACAUUCAUAUAAAAAAUAAUAAUUACUUAAUCUAUACAUUCAUAUAAAUAUAUAUAUAUAUAUAAAUAAUUGCAUAAUCUAUACAUUCAUAUAAAAAAAUAACAAUUACUUAAUCUAGACAUUCAUAUAAAUAUAUAUUUAAAUAAUUGCAUAAUCUAUACAUUCAUAUAAACAAAUAAUAAUUACUUAAUCUAUACAUUCAUAUAAAUAUAUAUAAAUAAUAGCAUAAUCUAUACAUUCAUAUAAAAAAAUAAUAAUUACUUAAUCUAUACAUUCAUAUAAAUAUAUAUAUAAAUAAUUGCAUAAUCUAUACAUUCAUAUAAAAAAAUAAUAGUUACUUAAUCUAUACAUUCAUAUAAAUAUAUAUAUAAAUAAUUGCAUAAUCUAUACAUUCAUAUAAAAAACAAAAAAAAAUCUCCACCCUCAAGCCGGCUAGGCCGGCUGUCCAGCCCACCUCCCCCUCUCUCUAGCCACGGGUGGGUCGGCCCCGCUGCCCAGGGGGCCCCACUUGCCAGGCGGCCGCCGGCAAACCCUGCCGCAGGGACGACAGCCGCCGCCGCCUGAGAGCACCACCCGCGAGGCGGCCCCGAUGCUGCCCCGGCCGCCUCGCUCGACUCCACCGCCUCCCUGCGCCCCGCCUCGAAUCCGCCACGCCCGGCCGCACUGGCCGUCGCCGCCGGCGAGCGGCGGCCACCGCGCUCUCUGCCUCCCACAUCAGCCCCCACGCGCGCGCAACCGCACCCGCCCCACGCGCAACAGCAAAACUGGACGUCGGCGAGCUUACCUCGACUGGCGGCGGAGAGAAGGGUUGCAGCGGAGGAGAAGGGUGGCGGCGAGAAAAUUUGGCAGCCCUGCCGGCGUCACUUUGAAUAGAACUGGCGCUUUCGAGACUUGGAAAUUUUCGGGACUGGCUGCGACCUAUAUAAGGGCGGCAUUUCUACAGCCGGUUGGCAUUGACCACCGCCUGUAGAAAUAGGUUUCCACAGGCGGUUGGCAUUGAGAAAUAGCUUUCUACAGGCGGUGGUCAACGCCAACCGCCUGUACAAAGAUUUUUGUAUUUUAUUAUUAUUAUUUUUGUUUUCUAUAUUUUUGGUAACUGUCUUUUAAUUGCAUAUUGAUAUUAUAAUUUUAACAUAAUUAUUUCUAUAUUCUAUAUUUGUAACAUAAUUAUAUUUGUUUAUAUAUUAUUUGUAAAAUGAUAUUAUUUCUAUAUUGCAUAUUUAUAUUAUUUCUAUAUUAUUUCAACAUAAUGAUAUUAUUUGUAUAAUUAUAUUAUUUUAAAUUUCAAAUGCAUAUUGCAUAUUGUAUGAAAGGUAGAGCUUGAUGAGCUCUAACUCCUCUGUAUUCAAAACUUUUUCAUUUGAGGACUUUUAGCCUAGUUGGACCUAGUUUGACCUAGUCAAAUUUUGAAAUUUCACAUUUCCACAACUACACACACGUUUUCGAAACCUGAGACGUCCCCAACUCGAAAAGUCAUGAAUACAAAGAUUGUUCCACUCAUUAAGAUAUACAUUUCAUACAUAGGACAUUUUUGCAUUUGACAAAGCGUUUCAAAAGUGUAGUUCUAAAUCCACAAGUCUCACAUAUAGUUUCAUAAAGUUUGUGUCACAUUCAACACUUUGUGACUAGAGUUUACCAAUCCUUUCUCAAAUGCCAAAAUAUCCUAUGUAUGGAAUGCGUAUCUUGAGGAGCUCUAACACCCAUGUAUUCAAAAGUUUUUCAUUUGAGGUCAUUUAGUGCGUAGUUUGACCUAGUUUGACCAAGUCAAAUCUUGGAUUUUUUCUGAAAAGUCACUUUGACCGGACCCUUUGUAGUCUCAGAUACAAAAGUCAUGAAUACAAAGUUUGUCCAGCUCAUCAAGAUACACAUUGUGUGUAAGGGUCAACUUUUCAUCUGAGAGAGUUUGGACCACUCAAAUUUUGAAAUUUCAAAUUUCCACAGCUACACACACGUUUUCGAAACCCGAGACGUCCCCAACUCGAAAAGUCAUGAAUACAAAGUUUGUUCCACUCAUCAAGAUAUAUAUUUCAUACAUAGGACAUUUUUGCAUUUGACAAAAGCGUUUACAUGAUGAAUCACAGAUACAAUCUAGGCCGCUACUAUUCUUCCUUGUCCAUCAGGGCGCACCCAUGGCAAAGAACUCUGUGGGAUGCAUCGCUCAAUAUUUUUUAUCUUCAUAGGAUGGUCCACAAAGAGGGACAUAUCACUGAACUGGUUAAAAUCCUCUAGAUCCGAUACACCGUCAACUCCAACUGCUUGUUGCUUUCCUGGAAAAACUAAAUGCUUCGGUUUGUCGGUACUUUUCUUCUCAUUCUUAGAAAGGAUCUGCUCAGCAUAGAAAACCUGUGCAGCACAAUUAGCAAGGAUCCAUGGGUCAUCUUUAUAUCCCACCUUACUUAGAUCAAGAACUCUGAACCCAUAAUUAUCCACUGUGACAUGUUUAUCUUCAACCCAUUGACAUCAAAACACAGGGAUCUGAAAUGUACCAUAGUCUAGUUCCCAUAUGUCCUCGAUGAAGCCAAAGUAUGUAAUAAUAUCACCAGUUUUGUCAUCUACGGCCUCGCAUCGAACACCACUAUUUUGUGUCAUGCUCUGUUGGUCCCUGAACUUGGUAUGAAAUGUGAAUCCACUUAUGUCAUAGGUUUGCCAUGUUAUGACUUAGCGUGAUGGUCCAGAUGCCAAAGCCUUGAUGGUUUGUUUCUCAAUUGUUUCCCCAUAUGGAAUGUCCUGCUCCCUUAGCCAUGUGUACAACUGUUUCUUGAGUUCCUUCAUUACCCCCUCUGUUUGCCUAGGAUUAUGUUCUCGAAGCUCAUCUAUGUGUUGUUCAAUCAAAUGCUCCAUUAUCGAGAGCUGAUGUAAGAUGUUGUGAUGUGACUCAAGUAAUGUAUUGUAAUCUGGUGGGAUGAGUGAUUUUCGUCCAAUCCUCCCACAUCCAUGUAGCCUACCCUCAUGUCCUGACGGAGGCAAACCUAUUGCAACCUAGUCUUUUAGGACAUUAUUGCAGAAUGGUCCUCCGGACUCAAUCGCCUCUUCGGUACAAUACCCCUCUAUCAUGGACGCCUCGGGACGAGCACAAGUUGAUACAUAGCCAUUUAGUAUUGACAUAAAACGCUUGUAAGUCCACAUUUCAUGCAGGUACAUGGGACCCAGUGCCUGUAUUUAUGGAACCAAGUGCACCACAAGGUGCACCAUGAUAUCAUAGAAUGAUGGGGGGAAACACAUCUCAAACUGUGACACUGUUUCCACUGCGAAUUCCUGAAGGGAUUCUAACUCAUCACGGUCAAUUACCUUUUGUGUGAUCUUGUUGAAAAAGUAGCACAACCGUGUGACUGCCAUUUUUAAGAAUACUGGAUUUAUAGCCCUUAUUGCAAUAGGGAGGAAAGUAGUCAGCAUGACAUGACAAUCAUGUGAGUUGUAGUUGGUGAGUGUUAGGUCUUUCAUCGACACAUAACUCCGUAUGCUAGAGCAGAAUCCAGAUGGGACUUUCAAUUUCUUCAACCACUCACACAUCGCAUGUUUCUCAUCUAUGUUGAGGUUGUAGCUUGCUGCUGGGAGAUGGUACUUCCUAUUUUCUUGAAGAACAGGAUGAAGCUCUUUUUUUAUGCCUAACUGCACCAUGUCAAAGCGUGAAUUGAGUCCUUCCUUUGUCUUGGUAUUGAUGUCUAGCAACGUGCCAAUUAGACAUUCGAACACAUUCUUCUGGACGUGCAUACCAUCGAUCGCGUGUCGUACAUCUAAGUCUUUCCAGUAUGGCAAAUACUCAAAGAAAAUGGACUUCUUCUUGAAUGUUGCCCCUGGAGUUGAUUUGACAUCCUUUCUUAAUUUUCCAUCCUUUGUCUUCUUUCCAAACACAAAUUUAAUGUUGCUCACUAUUUUGAAAACUCUAUGGCCUUUGCUAUUACCUAAUGGUGCAUCUGAGUUCCUUUCAUCAUUAUAGUCAAAGUACUUAUCCAUCUUUUUCAAGCGGUACUUGUGACCUUUCGAUAAGAAGCGUCUGUGCCUCAUGUACACUAUCUUCUUAGAUGCAUUAAGGGACACGUAAUGGGUUCCGUCUAUGCACACCACGCAACCAACCUUUCCCUUGAUUUGCCCUGUUAAAAUAAAGAGAGCAAGGUAAUCGUUGAUAGUAACAAAAAUAAUUGCUCUUAGCGUGAAUGAAUCUUUGCGAUACUCGUCCAACAUUUGAACACCUUUUUCCCAUAACAUUUUCAUUUCCUCCAUCAAUGGCUCCAAGAAAACAUCCAUGUCAACUCCAGGUUGAACUGGUCGAGAGAUAAGUAAGGUUAGCAAAAGGUAUUCUUGCUUCUGCAUCAACCAUGGAGGGAGGUUGUAGAUGGUGAGAAUCACCGGCCAUGUGCUAUGCUUGCUGCUCCUCUCAGCAAAUAGAUUCAUUCCAUCUGUACACAGUGCGAACCUAACAUUUCUUGGUUCGCUGGCAAAGUCUCGGUGGUUGUCAUUGAAAUCUUGCCACUGCUUUCCAUUGGCUGGAUGGCGAAGCUUGCCAUCAUUUUGUGCUCAUCAGAAGCAUGCCAACUCAUAAGUUUUGCAUCCUCAGGGUUAGCAAACAAACUCCUCAGUCGAUCUACCACUGGAAGGUACCACAUCACUAAAGCAGGAAUCUUUUUCUGCGUAUAAUAGUCAACCUCUUCUUUAUCUUUGCUCAUGGGUUUUGAACUCUGUUGGGUGUUCUUUUGGGCCUUCUUUCGCUUCUUCCCUGCUUUACACAUGGAGGCAGCAUAAUCCUCUCGAUAGUCUUUGUUUGUCUUGUACCGACUUGCACCACACUUUGGACAACUAUCCAAGUCCUUGUAAUCAUCACCUCGGUACAGGAUACAAUGAUUUAUACACGCAUGGAUCUUCUCGACACCCAUAGUCAACGGAUUGAUCAGCUUCUUUGCAUAGUACAUGUUAGCAGGAACUUUGUUCUCCUUUGGAAGCAUAUCGCCGAUAAUACUUAAGAACGCAUCGAAUCCAGCAUCGGACAAACCAUACCUGGCUUUUGCCAUCAACAGUUUUAGCACAGCUCGUAACAUUGUGUACUCUUUGGUACAACCUUUAGACUCAUCAUACAAAGGCUCUUCUGCUGCUUUCUUUAAGGCCUCCAUCCCUUUCAUUAAUAACAUUGAUGGUUCAGUAUGACGACACAACAUUGCCUCCAAGAAUUCAGCAUCUUCUGUAGCCGUAUCAUUUGGUAAGACAUGAGUUCUUGCACCAACAUUUCCCCGAGUAGAUCCACCAGCGGUAACAUUUGGCACAACAUGUUCACUCUGGGGUGUGUCGUGGAAAAACUGAUCAGCAGGCAUGCCUGGACCAUCGGUGUCGAUGUGUGCUGGGUCCCCAACUGUAUAAGGCGCUGAGCUACCCUCUCCAUGCUUUGUCCAAAUCAAGUAAUCCUUCAUAAAUCCUCGGCAGACUAGAUGAGAAAUGAUUACUUCAGUAUCUUCAAAUAGAAGAAUAUUUCUGCAGUCGUAGCAUGGACAAUAUAUAUGCUUCGUCUUUGUUCUCAAAGCAUGGUUCUUAGCGGCAUCAACAAACCUAUGCACCUCAGGUAUAUAUGAUGGAUCUAGUCUUGAUAAGUUAUACAUCCAUAAGGACCUCUCCAUCAUGACCUGUUGAAAAGUUAGUAAAUUAAUUGAAAUAUUAUCUAGGAAUAUUUGUUAUUAAAAAUAAAAGAAGACCUAACAAUUAAAUCAAAUUGAAAAAUGAAUCAUGAAAAUGGUGAGAGGAGAGGCAACAUCUUAAACAAGAGGGCACAAAAAUGCUUAUCGCGUAAUUAAAUCAAAUUUACAUAAAAAAUAACAUCCUAAACAAUAUAAUUUAAAAAACUAAAAAGAAAACUUACCUUUCUUAGCCACCUCCACCUCCUUCCAAGAAAUGAAGAUCAAAACCUCCACUCUUGUAUUUUGACCGGUUGAAAAGUUAGUAAAUUAAUUGAAAUAUUGUCUACGAAUAUUUGUUAUCAAAAAUAAAAGAACACCUAACAAUUAAAUCAAAUUGAAAAAGUAAAAUAAGUAUCAAAAAUAAAGACAAAACCAUAAAUAUAUAUCUUUAUAUCACUAAAUUAAAUUUGACAAGGUACAAAAACACUAAUGAUUGAAACUAAAUAUAUUAUAUCACUAAAAACUUUGAGAAGGAAACAUGGAAAUGGUGAGAGGAGAGGCAACAUCUGAAGCAACCUCAUAUAUAAAAAAUGCUUAUCGCAUAAUUAAAUCAAAUUUACAUAAAAAAUAACAUCCUAAACCAUAUAAUUUAAAAAACUAAAAAGAAAACUUAUCUUUCUCUCCCUUCCCAAGCAUGGAAACACCAUUCAUGGAAACUACUACAUAUAUAUUUCUUGGAUUCACAAAUUAGAGAAGGAAACAUAAAAAAAAGAUAGGAGAGACAUCAUAUAUUCAUCUUAAGCAACUUUAUUUGAGCAAAAUAAACCAUACCUAGCUAUUCUACUCUCUCCCUCUCAUGGUGAAACCCUAGAUCCAAAAAGUAGCUCAAAUUGAGCAAGAGGGCACAAAAAGAGGCAUUAGAGGCAUCAACUAACCUUUCUUAGCCACCUCCUUCCAAGAAAUGAAGAUCAAAACCUCCCCCUUGUAUUUUGAAAAAUCUGGACCUCCAAGAUGGGCUGCAAUGGGAGGUGGCUGCGAGCUACAGUUCUUUCCGAGGAGGAAGAAGGGGCUGGUGGUAUCAGGCGGUUUGUUAUGUGAACCGCCUGUGUAAAUCCAUUAACACAGGCGGUUCGCAUAACUGAACCGCCUGUGUAAAUGGACCAUUUAUACAGGCGGUUUUCUUACAAUAACCGCCUGUACUGAGCCUUUUAUACAGGCGGUUUCCAAUUCUAGCCGUACAAAUUUUCAACACAGGCGCAUUAUAACUAAAACCGCCUGUAGUAAUGUUUUACCCCGUCGGCUUAGAACCUCUGUGUACUAGUGUCAAACUAUAGCAAGGAGAGCCUUGUAUAGAAAUAUCUUCGUGCCUCCCGAACCAUCCAAAAAAACAUAAUUCUUAUUGGCAUGUUUUUAGUUGGGACAAUGUCAAUGGUAGAUGACAACGGCUUCAUAUCAGAGACACAAAUAAAAACAACUAAACGAUGAUAUUUUUUCUAGAGUUCAACUUUUACACAAUUGGCAUACUGCAUUAUACUUUCCUUGGUUACUUUCACAGGCAUCACAAUCGCUUAGACUCAUUGACUAUCGUAACCUUGCUCACCGUCAUCUACAGAGGGGACCAGGGACAGGGAAAGAUUUAAUUAGUAUCUAAUGCUGACAGUUGGCAUACUGCAUUAUACUUUCCUUGGUUACUUUCACAGGCAUCACAAUCGCUUAGACUCAUUGACUAUCGUAACCUUGCUCACCGUCAUCUACAGAGGGGACCAGGGACAGGGAAAGAUUUAAUUAGUAUCUAAUGCUGACAGUUGGCAUACUGCAUUAUACUUUCCUUGGUUACUUAGACGAUUAGCAUCCAAACUCGUACUAAUAUUUUUUUAGUUGUCAUUUGUAUUGGUCUUCAAAGUUGAAAGUUGUAGUCCACUACCAAUGUAUUGUAGGUAUGCCUUUUUAUUGCUUGCAAAAUAAAGAGGUCAUUCAGUUCCAGCAAACAUAGAAGGGCUACUGAAAUAUCUGAAAAAAGCUUUUCCUUUCCAAACUUUUAGGCAAAUUGCAGUCAUAAGUAGGGAUGAAAACGGUAUGGAUAUUUCGACCGUAUUCGAGACUGAAUUCGUUUAGAGGGGUUUAGAUCUGUCCGUAUUCGAGUCCGAAUAUUUAACAUCCGAUUCCGUAUCCGUACUCGAAUACUUAAAUCGUAUAUUUAUAAUGUCGACAUCCAAUCUUAUCUUAUCCGACAUGGUUGACAUUAUUCGUAUUCGAAUCCGAAUUCGACCAAAAAUAUGAAAACAAAUAUGAUAUCAAUGAUAUCCGUUCGUAUCCAAUCCGUUUUCAUCUCUGAUCAUAAGUGAUACUAACAUCAAACUAAAACAGUAAGUAGCAGUAAUCCAGUAAUUAGUAGCUCCAAAUGAUGGCAUUAGGCCAGUCUCAGUGGUCCAUUUCAAUACACUGUUCCCAAAACAAAUUUGCUGAUAGAGCAUCAAUGAAACGAACAAUGAAACAACCUCCACAAUGCAUGAGUUUCACCUUGACGUUUCCUAGGCUCGGCAAAGCAUUUAAUUACUGCAAAAUGAUUGGAUUACAUGCAAGAUGUUGAAACAAUUUAGUCCUCAAUGGGGAUUUCAUCCCGUUUCACCGCGUAGGAAACAACGCCCGCAGAGUUUCACCAUGGUGAAACUACUUCUUUCUCUCUCCUCUUCGUUUUAUGCAAAAAGUACAGUUUUACUAAUAUAACACUCUAAUAAAUAUGCAUGACAUCCUGGUGAAACCUCCACUGAAACUGUCCUUAAGAGCAACACUAAAGUUCACGAGCCCUCAAAAUCAUAUGACCGGGGUACGUGCUGCCUAACGCCGCCACCCUCAGCCCACGCCACUGCUGCCCUGGCGGGCCCUAACCGGCCAGCUACAUCUACAAAUAGAUUAAACAAUUGAAGAAUAACGUUCACGUACAUUCAUCAAAUAUUUGAAGGAUGUGCUCAAACAAGUUUUCUUUGGAGGUUAGGUCGGCUUUUUCACUGUGUAAUAAGAUAUAUAGGUCGGUUAAGUUUUUUUUGAGGUGCUUGUAAAGAUAUAAGGAUCUAUCAUCGGGGCAUCGAUCAUGCACGUCCGUCCAAAAGAAUUGCUAGGUACGUGGUGAUCUCUUGGAAGACUGAGAGAGAUCUCUUGGUCCUCCUCCUCCUCCUACUACUACUAUUACGGUCUUGUUUAGUUCUCAAAUUAUUUUACAAAAUUUUUCAAAUUCCCCAUCACAUCAAAUCUUUAGCCACUUGCAUGGAGUAUUAAAUAUAGAUGAAAAUAAAAGCUAAUUACACAGUUUGAUCGGAAUUGACGAGACGAAUCUUUUGAGCCUAGUUAGUUUAUGAUUGGAUAAUAUUUAUCAAAUACAAACGAAAGUGCUACUAUUCCUAUUUUGCAAAAAAAAUUGGAACUAAACAAGGCCGUUCACCCCCAAAAUCCAAAAAGUUUUCAAAAUUCUCUGUCACAUCGAAUCUUGCGGCACAUGCAUAAAGCAUUAAAUGUAGACGAAAACAAAAACUAAUCACACAGUUUGACUGUAAAUAGCGAGACGAAUCUUUUGACCCUAGUUAGUUUACGAUUGGACAAUAUUUAUCACAAACAAACGAAAUUGUUAUAGUAACGAAAUCCAAUAAAUUUUCACAUCUAAAUAAGGCCCUAGGCUACUACACACGCUUAGUACCUAGCACGCCGUUGAUGCAGGCAUGCAUGCAGCACCAGCCAGCACUUUUUUGCUUUGAACAGUGCUGGCGCUAGCUGGCUAGCUGUGCUGAUAGAUACGCAUGCAUAUGCAUGCACACGUCGCCAAGACAGCAACGUACAGUGCUGCAGCGCAUGCACCGUCCCCAUCGUGCUGCCCUCGCCUGUGAGACACGGUGCCCGCUUGUCCGGCUCCUCGUGACACAUACACGAUCCAUCGUCGCCGACGUACGUUAAACACAUGUGUGCAUGCAUGUAGCUAGGCCGUCAUGUUAUGUGUAUGUACAGCCAUGCCACACCCCCUGACCCCCACGCCAUACCCUGCAUCGUCGAUUGCGCUUUGCAUGUGCAUGCAUCGUCUCUCCUGGCCAGCCAACUUUUCCAGAUCUGUCAUUCAGCUAGAUAUAUACUGUAUAUGUAUAUAUACGUAUAAGGCCUUGUUUGGAUGUAGUAAGAUUCGCAUCAAUCCACAUGUAUCGAGCUGGGUUAGAGUGGAACUUGAACUAAAUUCCACCUCAAUCCACUCCAAUACAUGUGGAUUGAGAUGAAUCCGACAACAUCCAAACAAAGCCUAAAUAAGUUUGCGAAUAUAUAGUUACAUGUACGUUAUCUUGUUUCAGUGAUAGGGAUCGAAGUUCCUAUCAAUAACAAGGCGUCUAUCGUCGUAACCUCACUAAUCUUAAGAAUUUGCUAGCUCAGUCAGGGGUAGUAGUCACUUAUAGGGGUGAUUGAGUGUACAUGCAUGCGCUGUGAAUAUCUAUGUUAAAAAAGAAAUGUACAUCACCUCCAUAGUAAAGUAUAUCACCGUUUCUCUCAGCUGCAAACUGAAUGUUGUUACGCACGGCCGGACAGGCAGUGCGUACGACCAAACAUAUACAUAGGAUAGGAGUCAUAGGACAUAAUAACAGCUUGCAUGGAAGGGACGUGUGAGCCGUCGUUUGUGAGUUGCGAUCGAUCGAGACUGGCCGGCCGGGGAAGAAACGCCGGCCUCACCCCACCGCCGCUCGCGGCUUGCCGCGCCCCCACAAACUUUUUGAGAGGGCUCCGCGCCCGUCCGCCGGUAGGGCCAGCGUACAUGCUGUUGGCCUGGUCGAGACGAGAGAGCCAGAGAUCACGCAGGCUACAGGGAGGAUGAACAGUCGUUCAGAUGGCUGCAUCUGCACUGCACCUGCAUGCAUGCGCUAGCUGAACAAUUGCAUAUGCAGCUAUAGGACUGUACUUAAGCGCAGAUUAUUGAGCAAUUAUCCACCAGUAGUUGCAUUGGGGGUUGUCUAGUCAUUUGGAGGUCCUGGUGCUGUUAAAAAUUCAGCAUUGGCAAGUUUUGCAUGUGGGUGUGGUUGGGUAGAUUUCUGCAAAGAAAAUUACAAGACAUACAAUUGGAGAACCCGAAUGGAGGAGGCCAAUUUCCGCGGAGUCUCCAAGAAUAGUGACUGUUGAGAAAUAAGAAAGAAAGAAAGAAAGAAAUAUAAACCAUUGCCUUUCAUUUGCUGAAUUUUGAGCCAGAUCGACGUCUCUGCCUAAACAGACAUGACAUCGUGCAUGGUGCCCAUGGGAAUGGGCAACCGGAAUUUGUGAUGGUUUUAAGAGGAAGGAGGUGAACCAUCCAAUAGCCAGACCAUAAAGAGACGUCCUAGGGUGGAGACCCGGUUUCGCAAAAACAGACGUCCUAAGCAGCGGAGAGUAUUGUGGACGCGUUUGCCCCUGCGAACCGCCCGUUCGCGUGCGUCCCUUCGCGUGCGGCCUCGUUCGUCGCCCGCAUUGAAGGCUCGCAGGGGCCUCGUUCGUCGCCCGCAUUGAAGGCUCGCGUGCGUCCGUUCGCGCAGUUCAGGUAAACGAAAAAAAAGCGCCAACAAAAGCGCGUUGAAAGUCAAAGGAAAAAAAAGGAAAAAAAGCGGCAAACAAUGUGCUCAACGCGGCGAACAGGCUCCAAACGCGGCUACAAGCACGGACACGUCCAAAUCAACGAAAUAAGCGCGUGCCAUCCCUGCCCGCACACGCACAGUACCAUGAAAAAACAUGAAAAUCUACUCAGUGCCAAAAAAUAGCGCGGCCACCAGGGAUCGAACCGACCCCCUAACAGCCAUCCACCCAACUCGCGCUUGCUAGCCAGUAGAACUACAAAUCUUUCCUAGAUAACAUGCACCCCGCAGCUUAUUUAAUAGGGGUAAAGUAGAAAAAAUACCCCCUAAUUAAUGACUUCUUGGUUAUCACAAUCUUAUCCUAAACGUCCAUUUUUUCAGUAUGGAGGGAGUAUUAAGAAAGACAGGAGGCGUGGCUCGUCGGAGGUCAGUUUUCAGCGCUUGAUGUAGUGAUCCUACUUACCUGUUCUUUGUUGCCUCGAGCAUUCAGCAGUAGAAGCUAAUAAGAGGAACAGUCAAUCAACCGGAAGCUGAAGAAAAAGUUAAGAUAGGUGACUGCUUAACUCAUACGGCUAGCUAUAGUACACUCAGCAUGCAAUGGAAGCCCCUGUAAAACUGUAAUGAUAGAAUCACGUGCACGGGGAUUAGUUGCGGGCAGAGCUUUCAACAAAGGGGCGCGCGCGAGAUGGGGAUAUAUGCAUGAUGGCCUUAUGAUUCGAUCGAGCUCUCCCCUUCAUCACUGUUUGCCAUGCAUCUUCUCUCACUGUCCUGUCUUUUGUCUCUCGCAACUUCUGUAGGAAGGAAUCCAUAGCUCUCGCUGUGUGUCUCUUGCAUGCAUGGACCAUGCAUGCCUGCAUGCCAUGGCCCAGAGUGCGCACCUGCCAGCUACUCUCUCUCUCUCUCUUUCUCACACACACACUGUACAAGGUUGCCUUUUGACCCUAGAUUUGUAUCGUCAGUUUGGACCUCUCUCUCUCUCUUUCUCUCAUUUGGGAUCUGUCAUCUGUCUGCUUGUCCAUGGCAAUUGGUACGUACGUACUGCGUACAUGUGUGUUGUCUGGAAUUAUUUGUGGGCGGACAAAACGGUCUCCCACCAGCCACCCUAUGUGAACUGGUCCUGCAUUUGUUUGCUUUCUCAACUGUUAACACACAGUAUAACAAUGUAUUGCACAUAGGGAUUCAAACAUAUACCAGGACUACAUUUUUCAUUUUGGAUCCUAGCAGAGAUGCUCGCAUUUGCACAUUUAUUUUACAAAUUGACGCUACUACACAAAUCUUUUUUUACAGUCAACUCAAAUUUUUCCUAGAAUCUCGGAACAUGUAAGAAACCACCUCUAAGAGCACUGUAGCUUGCGAACUGCCAUUAGAAAGCAAUUUUAGGGGCUGGUUUUGUUAAGAAAAUCGUCCCUAAAAAUAUAUCCAUUUUCAGGGAUGGUUCCAUUAAAAACCUCCUUUGAAAAUAUGGUUUUUAGGAUCGGUCUUAUUGAGAAACUCGCUUCUAUAAAUCGGAUGUUUCUAGGGACAGUUCUCUUAAUAGAACCAACCAUAAAAAAAAUUUAUAGAGUCAGUCCUCUUAGUGAACCGCCCCUAAAACUGACUUCUUAUAAAAAGCCUUCUGUCUCCUCGUGGGCAACUACACAUAUCACUCCUUUGGGAGCUCACUUCAAGGCGAAAAUGUUGCAAAAAAUAGUGAGGGCAAGGUUUUGCACUUUGAAACAUUGAAUAAGUUGGCUUUAAGAGGUAAGAUUAUGUCAUCCAAUGUAUUUUUUUACAAGUCUACUCAUUAUGCUUUCCAUGUACAGAGACAUGCUUGUUAAUCUUUGCUUUUGUGAAUAAUUUUGGCUGAAUUUUUUACCCAACUUACUUGUAUGGCACUACUAAGAUUAUGCUAUUAUUGUCGGGACUUUCAUCCCUGGUUUUGUGAGAGCCAGUGAUGAUAAAUUUUACCGCCGGUUCAAAGACAGGUGGUGCAUAGUGCACUAAUACACAAAUCUUUUUUAAGGCAGGCAUUGCAACUGCCUUUGCCAAAAGGUCAGGUUAAUCCUAGAUUAACGAAGGCGGUUACUUUUCCCGUCUCGGUUAAUCCCAUUAACCGAGGCGGGCGUUUUAAUAUGUCUGUCUCCGUUAAUGUUCUCUAGAAAACCAAAUAUUUUUUAUUAACGUUGGCGGGCACUGCAGCUAGCCGCCUUCGCCGAAAGGUCACGAUUAAUCUAUCUCUGUUAAUCUCAUUAAUCGAGGGGUACAUCUUAAUAUUCCCAUCUAUGUUAAUAUUCUCUAGAAAACCAAGAGUCAAACUCACAACCUACCCCCUCAACACUACCAUAUCUCUACCACUACACCACAUACUUAUUCAUGUCUAUAUAUAAUAUGUUAUCUUUUUCUAUCAAUAUUUUGUAAUCUUAUAUUGGAUAUUUUGGCUCAUAACAAACUUAAAUAAAAAAAGAACUAAAAAGUUUAAAAUCAUGUCAGAUACUACAACUUUGGUGUAGGAUGUAUCUCCAUCAAAGAUAGUUUAAAAAGUUCAAAAAAAGUCUCAAAAGAUUUAAAUUUCAAAUACAUAUUUGAGACUCAAGAUGACUUUAAAUCAAAAACUUGUCAACACCAAACAUGUAGAUCACCUCAGCCACUAGAUUUUUUAUAUUAACUAUGUGAACAUUUGAGAUCAUUUAGGAACUCUAAAUUUUAAAUUUCAAAAUCUAUAACCUUCAAACACAUAUUUUGGGACACUAAACAUUUUCAAAUUAAAAACUUCAACUACAAAGUUGUAGAUUCUAGUGAGAACUAAAACUUUUAUAUAGACUAUGUCAACAAUUUAGAUUGUUUGAUAAUUUUAAAUUUCAUCAAAAUAUACACUCUUACAACAAUAUUUUGGGAACCUAAACAGUUUUAAUUCAAAAACUUUUCAACUACAAAGUCGUAGAUGUCAUGGAGAGAUACAUUUUGAUAUAAAAUUUGUCUUCAUCCAAGUUCCUAUAAAAAGUUAUAAAUUAAUUUUGGUGUAAUCAUUAACCGAGGUAGACAUCUCAAGACACCUGCCUCUGUAAAUCAAUUUACGGAGAUGGACGCUUAUAAUGACCACCUCCAAAAAUAAUAAAUUAAUCGAGGUGGUUGGCUUACGUUGCCCACCUCGGUUAAUGGAGUAAUUGGAGAUGGUUGUCGUAAGGCAACCGCCUUAGUUAAUCAUGGAUUAACCGAGACAAUUUGCUACAUUGCCCACCUCGAUUAAGCAUUAACCGAGGUAGUUGGUGGACCGACUGCUCGGCCACGAAUAUUAGAGAUGGCCAACCGGCCCAACCGCCUCGGAGCCUAUUAUGAAAACAUCUCACACAAGAUUUUGUGUAGUAGUGGUGGGGUCACAAAUCUGUGGAGCUAAAUAUUUUCACCACCAGUUCAGUGCAUAAUCUGGAGGUGAAAAUCGUGGUGCUCUCCACUACUGACCAUACACCAAAUUGGUGGUGAAAACAUUUAGCACACCAGUUGUCACCCCACCGUGCACCACCUGUUUUGAACCAAGACAUUUGAGGGAUGGGGUGCAGAUCAAUUGAUCAAGAAGUGAAUAGUGUAGUCACUAUUGGCUCAGAGUAUGAUAUGGCCUAGACCUUUGGGUUGUGUUUUGCAGCCAUGUCAUACGUUGAACCGGCGGUGAUCGCAGGUUACACUGAUAGACAAAGAAAUAGCACAACCUUCAUACUAUAUAUCCAUUAAAAAAUAAGAUGGUCAGCAAGAAUAGGACUAUGAGAAGGAUGAGGAGCAAAUGAUGUUGACAAACAAGUACAGGCCACAUAACGUCAUAGUUCACGCAGCCGUAGAUGCCAUUCUAACAUUGGUUUAGCUUGUACUACUCUGAUGGACAAAACUAAGAGGUCGAGACAACUAUAACAUGAGGUGUGACACAAGAUUCUUACUACCCUCAGCUCCCAGAAUUGGAGCAUAUGAGAGGCAUCAACAAGAUUCAGGAGUUGAGGUUUGUUCCCUUAGAGGACUGCUACUAAGACCCACAGAACGAGGGCCAUUUUGGACUAUAGUGCAUGUUAGUUUUCUCAUGGUCAUCUAAGAUGGAGGCAUGAAGUUAUGUGCUCAUUGCUAAAUAACAAUUGAAGGCCAAGAAAAAUUUGUAGGAAUCACUGAGGAAGAGAUGAGGGCCCAUUUAGCAUACAUGCUAGGACUAUUGGGCCUAUUGAUAGAUCACAAGAAUAUGUGCUAGAUUAGGUGAGAAUAUUCUUUACUACUUUGUGGAUACCACGAGGAUGUCAAUACAUUGAAUUUAUGUUCACAAAGGAUCACCACCACCUAUGUAAGAAAGAAAUAGUUAAACCUCUAGGUGUUGGACUAGUUCCAAACACUCAAGUUCAUCCAUUAUAUGUUACCCAAGAGCACUACCUCCUCCUCAUGCCCUUGUAGGUAGGACAUUACCAGUACCCACUGGAAUUGAAUUGGUUAUUUUAGACAGUUGUUCAGUAUUGACUCUUUGAGGAUACUAGGAGAACUCACACCACUAACAUUUGUUCUUUUCCUCGCCUUCGAGAAGUCCCUAUACCUAAGAGCUAGAUUUGCUAAGGCAAUCACAGUAAUGCAACAGUGUUUCCUUUCUUUAGUGUUAGGCCACACUCCAUUUGAUGUGGUAGAUUUGCUGGUUUGUGAGUGGGAAGACUAGAUUGCUAACGGAUUCAAGGGCAAGAGGAGGGUUCUGCAUGUGCAUGUCAUUUGUUACCUGUAGACUAGGACUUUUGGAUACAUAGAAUUGGAGAUGGUCCUGAAAGAAUUGAAGAGUAUAUGUUCCUUAAAUACAAACCUCCUAGUCCUACUAAUAGACAUAGAGGAUUCUAUGGUCUGAGGAUAGCAUAUGACUAGAUGACACUAGCUGAUCUAGCCAGUAAUGAGGAAGCUGACUUAGCUUCGAGAAGGAGAGGCACAUUCUGGACUUCAAGGUUUGAUUAGCGCUGCACUACUAGGUAGCGAUAAUCAAGUACAAGGAUUAUACAUUGCCUCAACCACCCAUUCCCUAAACAGCAAGGUUCAAAUGAUCAUGUAGUGGGAUCUAGUUUUAUGCCAUCGAUUGAGCCAAAAAUAGCACAAGCACAAUUCUAGCUGAUUUAAUCCCUAUAAGAUGAACUAAUUCAGAUGACAGAAUCACAAGAAAACAUGUUUGUUGCUAUGAUGAGAAAAUAAUAGAAUCAUAAUGAAGCAUUGGCUUCAUUAUUUUUAGGCCAGCAGCAAUGCUUGAGUAGCCAAGGAAGGACAAAGAGCACAACAACUAUCAGUUUGCUUACCUUUUCCACUAGAUUGCUAUGUUGCCGCCUCCGCUUAUGCCACCUAGUAUGAUAGUUGUGUGACUAUGUUAGUGAUCCCUCAAAGGUUCAUCGUCCUAUGCUUCAUGAUCCCUAAAAGGUUGUUGUUAUGAUAGUUGUGUGACUUUGUUAGUGAUUGAUUCUCUCUUGGGUUUCUUUGGCAUCUGGGCAAUCUCUGGUGAUGUGCCCUUUGUUCUCCCCAUGGUAGAAGUAGUAUUUCCUUUGGGGUUUCUAGCUUGUGUUUUGGUUCUUGUUCUAGGGUUUGCUCUAAUUGCCUCUGCUAUUGUCUUGUUGGUGUGGAGGCAUGUUAUCUUAGCUAGGCUGCUACUGGUUAUGUUGGAGUAGUUGCUGAUUUUGCUAGGAGUUGACAUUGAAAACCUGUUGGUUAGGGCCUUGCUGAGGUUAGUUUUGACCUCAGUCAAUCCUGGGAGGUUACUUACUAUUUGGGAUUAAGUUUGCUGCUUGAACUAGUUUUGCUCUUCCAUUCUUUUGCGAAGGACAUUAUCAGACCUGAAGUAUUUCUCAAACUCAUUGUACAAUUCUUCUUUGGAAGAAGGUUUCUACCUAGCCAAUUGUCUAGCAAAGGUUCCAAUGCAAAGGCCCUUGAUGUCUGCCUCAAUUUCUACUUCUUUGGGUACACUAGGUGCUCAUGCUUUGAUGUGCACAAAUCUUUAGUAAUACUGCUUAAGGGAGACUCAUUGUUGUUGUUUGCAUUGAAAUAGAUUGUUGGAUGUCAAGGACUUGUUAGUAAAUAUUUUGAAAUUUGCCAUAAUUUUGUCUCAAAGGUCUUCCCAUGAGUAUACAGACUUGGGCUUGAGCAUGGAAUACCAUGCAAGGAUGUUCCCUUCUGUCAUGGUGAUGAAGGAUUUAGCUAGCAUUGUCAUUUCCUCUGGCAGAUGUGAUAGCUACCUUGAAGCUCAUUAUAAACUCAUGUGGGUCUCUUUGCCCAUGGAACAUGGGUAGGGAUAUGGGUUUGUAGGUGGGUAGCCACCAUGGUUUGGUUUGUAGACCUUUGAACAAGGGAUAUUUGUUGUCUAUUUGUUUGGAGAGUGCGAUGAGGGUUGAUUGGUGUGCUAAAGAUUUGCUAGGGUUGAGGGUGUGGCUAGAGGUUGGAUUAGCUUUGUGUAGCUGGUGGAGGGUUGUUGGAGUUAUCGGUUGAUGGGGGAGGUUUUGGCAACAGUCAAGUUGUUGUCUAACCUUCGUUGCUUGUUAGGAAGCAAGGGUUCUCUUUGAUUAGCAGCAAAGGUUGUAGCCAACUUGUCCCUUUCUUGUUGAGCUCUCUGUAGCUCGGCCUGCAACUAUUGAAGUAACUACUUUAGUGCUGGGUUAGGGAUUGUCUGCUCUCCACCUUGGCUCUAGACUGGUCUACCAUAGGUACUUCCUCUUCUCUGACCUUUGCAUUUUCCUGGGGAUUAGGGGGUUGGCAUACAUGUUGCGGGUGUUGCACUUGGGCCUUCCCAUGCGGAGGCCUUCCUUUUGGUUGGCACUGUGGGUUUGUGUGUGGCCUAGCAUGGUGAGUGCUAAUGUUGUGAAAUUAGGGUCACAACAAGAUGAAGGCAAGCAUGUUGUGGAUUUUCCUUCGAUCACUAAAGACUUUCAUAGAGGGGCGAAGUCCUUCGAGGUUAGAGACAUGAUUAUCAAGGAGCUUUCUAGGGUUCUGAGCCCAAAAUUCACUCUCUGCUUCAUUAGGGGUUGAGCCUUCCUUUUUAUAGUGUACAACUACAUAAUUUCCUUAUUACAAUAAUGCUCCUAUGCAAGCUAAGGCAUAUUCUAGUAUAUUUCUCUAUUCAGAGUUCCUCCUUCGGGCCUUAGUACCAUUUAUAUAGUCAACCUCAUUUUUUGAUAGGCUCUUGUCGAGCUGGACCUCUAGCCCAGUAUGACCCCUAGGCUGGCAUCUAAGGCUCUUUGCCAUUAGGUGUUUGUCCUCCUUCGACUGGUGCCUCGACCACCAAUUGCCUUUGACCAUUCUGGCAUGCCUAGGUAGUUCAAAGGCUUCGCUCGUUGUUUGUCUUGGCUCGGUGAUCUUCUAAAGGUUGGAGGAACCGACUGAAGGCUUCCUGAUGAGAGUCAAACAUAGGGGCAUGCUAAGUCUCUCAGAGAAAGACUCCCAAUCGAGAGACCCCACCCCCACCCCCUGCCUGUAACAUCUCGCCUCCAUGAGGUCGGGCCUGCUUACAUCUAGCAGCUUUUCUAGAACAUAGUCAGCCCUCCCCAGUAUUUUCUGCACACUUUGUCCUCACUCAUGUGCACCCAGGAAGUACUUCAUUAUUGGUCAUCCAUCUCUAAAUUUCUCUAAGCCAAGCACGCUUAACUUUUGAGUUCUUUGUAAAUAGGCUUCCAAAAAAGAAGUUGCAACUUGUUUGUAUGAGUAUCUUACUAAUCCUAUUAAUCCCUGGGCCAAGAUGUUACAUCCUCACCCUCUUAAGAGACUGACGUCCUCGUCGGUCAACCCCAAGCCAGGAACGUCCUCUCUUGGCCACAUCUAUGUGUCUAGUGCCAGCAUAUAUGUCAUGCUGUGUGACCACUCUAGGGUCCACACCAGCCAUGCGCACCAUGUUUGCGUAACUAUGACACACGUGCCUGUCAAACCAUGAGAGUCGGCUUUGAUACCAGUUUUAACGUCUUGCCUCCAUGAGGCUAGGCCCACUUACAUCUCGCAGCUUUUCUAGGACAUAAUCCGCCCUCACAAACCAACACUAGUCUUUUCUGCACACUUUGUCCUCACUCAUGUGCACCCGGGAAGUACUUCCUGGUCGGUCACCCAUCUCUAAAUUUCUCUAGGCCAAGCACGCUUAACUUUUGAGUUCUUUGGAAAUAGGCUUUCAGAAAAGGAGUUGCAACUUGUUUGUAUGAGUAUUGUUGACGGUUCUUAAGUAUCAAUUUUAAUUAUCAAAUAAACAAGAGAUAGGACCAAUAUGCAAACAACACCUAGAAUUAGGGUUUGAUCUGACAGAAUUCCACGAGUUUUGUUGUUUAUCUAUUUCUACAGGGGGUUAUCAGGAAAUAAGAAAGAAAGGCCCACAUGUCGGGAUUACAUAGAGAUAUCAACGCACCGCGCAAUUUUCUACCAUCUAGAAGACUCCAGAAGCCACGGGAACAAAGCAGAGGCCGAAAGGGGCCUGGCCCAAGGCGCCCGCCCUGAGGACCAGGGCGCCCGCCCCCCUCUAGACUCCAAUCGGGACUCUUUUCGCGGACGACGCUCCACCGACCUAAAGGAUCAAGGAUAACCGUCCAAUCAAUGUCGGUUUGAUCCAAUGGCUCACGUUCACUUGAGGGGACUAUAAAACCAGACCCCCUGGCUCCUGGAGGAGACAAGUUCAUCAUAGAUUGAGAGGAGCCCUCGAAGGAAUACCUCUCCUCUAAAUAAAAUUUCUUUUAGGCUUAGCAUCCAAUGUGAGUAGAAAUAGAUCUUCUAGUUUCUACUAGAUUGAGAGAGAUAGAGUGGAGGUGUAGAUCGGAGGAAGCCCGACCUGUCCGUGUCUACUCCGAGUUUGUACCUGCGGGAUCA